UACGUAGGGUGCAAGCGUUGUCCGGAAUUAUUGGGCGUAAAGAGCUCGUAGGCGGCUUGUCACGUCUGCUGUGAAAACUCGGGGCUCAACCCCGAGCCUGCAGUGGAUACGGGCUAGCUAGAGUGCGGUAGGGGAGACUGGAAUUCCUGGUGUAGCGGUGAAAUGCGCAGAUAUCAGGAGGAACACCGGUGGCGAAGGCGGGUCUCUGGACCGAUACUGACGCUGAGGAGCGAAAGCGUGGGGAGCGAAC
Molecule: ribosomal RNA, 250 nt
Filed under: uncultured bacterium
Lineage: Bacteria
Also listed under: 1 other name
Description: partial 16S ribosomal RNA
Rfam family: Bacterial small subunit ribosomal RNA
Source: RNAcentral